GUCCCGUGGAACACCAAGGCGGCCGGGGAACUCCACCGAGACUUACUUGUUUUCCAUGUUUAAUGAGAACAUGAAGCCUGGUGCAGCAGUGGAGCAACACUGGGGUCUCUUUCAUCCCAACAAGUGGCCCGUUUAUCCAAUCAGUUUCCUGUGAACAAAAAUUAAAGAACAAAGCAUGGUUUCAGUAAUUUAUGUGGUUAUACAGUUAGGAUUUGUUAUUUAUUUUCAUAAUUAGGAUGUAAUUUGUCUCUAAACAUUGCAACAUUAUUAGAUUUCUUGUCACCAGCCAAAAGUUUGAGUUUAUUUAAGCAUUAUCCAAUUUUGAUUUUCUCCUACUUUGUUUUUUGGUCUGUUUUUCUCUCCUACGUUUGACUUGAGAAUCGAUGAUGCAAUUGAUUCAGCUAAGCACCAAAUGAAGAACUUCAACAAUACAUUGACAACAGGAACCAGACUUUUACUAUUAUAUGCUUAAUUAACCACACUCAAAUUGAAGUCCAUAGAAUUCAACCAUUAACAAACUAAAAGUAAAGAGAUAAGCAGAUGCAGAUGAAAAACGGGUACCAGAGGGUUUUGUACCAAACGACCAUGAUCGCCGAAAAUCGGCGAACUUGUAGAAGGUGGCCACCACUAUAAUCUGUGAAUCCGAGUUAUUCAACUCGGGCAAGCUCGAAAUCGGUACUGGAACGGUGGGCCCAGAGAAGCACCUGAAAAGUCUCGUGCUUUGACGGACGCCAUGAAAUUCACCUGGAAAGUCUAAUUGGGUUAAAUCAAAGAACAGUUGAAGAUGAAAAUUUGACGGUUCCUAAAUUGAAAGAGGGUGGGGGUGAAAUCUAGGGUUACGGUUUAUAGAGAAGGUGAUGAGGUGUUCGAAAAAUCAGUCUAGGCGACCACCUAGGAGCUAGGCGGGAGGACACCGCCACGAUUUACCCCUAAUCGUUAGGGGCAGGCGCCAGGGACUUAGGCGGCGCCUAGGCGGGUCUGGGCGCCUCGGCAGACUGCUGAAGGAACAAAGAAGAAGAGGAACGAAGAUCAAGAUCACGCCGUCCACCUGGCAGCCACCUUAACGUUUGAUUAAUCGAAAUAUGUCCUCAAACGUUGUAAGGGCAUUUUUGACUUUUCGAAUUUCAUUUGUGCUGUUUAGUUUUCCACAUCCAACAGUCCAAAAGUCAUCUGCCG
This 1176-nucleotide long non-coding RNA is filed under the name Prunus persica (peach). RNAcentral's name for it is "long non-coding RNA (PPER_LNC002824)". Lineage: Eukaryota; Viridiplantae; Streptophyta; Magnoliopsida; Rosales; Rosaceae. The record is from RNAcentral.